GAACGGGGAGCAGCCCAGAGCCUGAAUCAGUAUGUGUGUUAGUGGAAGCGUCUGGAAAGGCGCGCGAUACAGGGUGACAGCCCCGUACACAAAAAUGCACAUGCUGUGAGCUCGAUGAGUAGGGCGGGACACGUGGUAUCCUGUCUGAAUAUGGGGGGACCAUCCUCCAAGGCUAAAUACUCCUGACUGACCGAUAGUGAACCAGUACCGUGAGGGAAAGGCGAAAAGAACCCCGGCGAGGGGAGUGAAAAAGAACCUGAAACCGUGUACGUACAAGCAGUGGGAGCACGCUUAGGCGUGUGACUGCGUACCUUUUGUAUAAUGGGUCAGCGACUUAUAUUCUGUAGCAAGGUUAACCGAAUAGGGGAGCCGAAGGGAAACCGAGUCUUAACUGGGCGUUAAGUUGCAGGGUAUAGACCCGAAACCCGGUGAUCUAGCCAUGGGCAGGUUGAAGGUUGGGUAACACUAACUGGAGGACCGAACCGACUAAUGUUGAAAAAUUAGCGGAUGACUUGUGGCUGGGGGUGAAAGGCCAAUCAAACCGGGAGAUAGCUGGUUCUCCCCGAAAGCUAUUUAGGUAGCGCCUCGUGAAUUCAUCUCCGGGGGUAGAGCACUGUUUCGGCAAGGGGGUCAUCCCGACUUACCAACCCGAUGCAAACUGCGAAUACCGGAGAAUGUUAUCACGGGAGACACACGGCGGGUGCUAACGUCCGUCGUGAAGAGGGAAACAACCCAGACCGCCAGCUAAGGUCCCAAAGUCAUGGUUAAGUGGGAAACGAUGUGGGAAGGCCCAGACAGCCAGGAUGUUGGCUUAGAAGCAGCCAUCAUUUAAAGAAAGCGUAAUAGCUCACUGGUCGAGUCGGCCUGCGCGGAAGAUGUAACGGGGCUAAACCAUGCAC
Molecule: ribosomal RNA, 899 nt
Filed under: Escherichia coli
Lineage: Bacteria; Pseudomonadati; Pseudomonadota; Gammaproteobacteria; Enterobacterales; Enterobacteriaceae
Description: partial 23S ribosomal RNA
Rfam family: Bacterial large subunit ribosomal RNA
Source: RNAcentral